AUGAAGGAUCCCAGUGACCCGAGACCCUCUUCCGGAGCCGCCAAGACCCGAGCGCCUUCGUUCAGCGGUCGGCGAUCGUUUGGAAGGACAGUCCUUUGGAAGAACUUAGGUCAUACAUACCCAUCCCUCACCGCCCCCCUCCCCCGACGCCCAGGCCGUCCUCAGCCUCUCCAUUACUCGCUUUGCUUUCCCCGUUUUCCACUCCGGAGCGCAGCUCGGCACGUGCACGCGGGUGUGAGCGCGCCCAGAGGCUGCAGAGACCCGGAGCGUCGCUCGGAUCCGGCCAGAGCGGGUAGGAUCCUCGCUGGCAAGAAAACCAGCGGAGGAGAAGGAACUGUGUUUCGCCCAUUACUUUUAUUAGACGAGAGAGGCUAUAGAGGGCGUUUGUCCCGGGUCCCGUUUCAUAGCCGCCUGCUGACUUCAUCAAAAGGGCUCGUCCAGACCGCGAUUCCGCCGCGCGUGGUCAGGCGCACACUGACGCAGCUGGGUGGGAGAGCCGCGGGUACCCAGGAUACUGAGGGACAGAAACAGAAAAACCACGGUUGCGUACGUUUCCUGCCGGCUUCCCUGCUAAGCAUCUUCUGUGCACCUGAGUGUCUUGAUCUCGAGUGAUCCAGGCAAACCUGAUCACACCUCGGGAGCCCUGGCUCUCCUGUAUGAAGCGCGGUGCAUUGCCACGUUGAAUUUUAAGCCCCUAUAGCUAUGCACACUGAAAAUAGCAUUUCAUUUUAAAAUAAAUUCCUGAGUUAGCAGUCAGUCCCAAACCUUCCAUUCCUUGAGAACAGCGUGCAUUUUGUUGUUGUUUUUGCAUCCGCAUGACGUGUGCCAUUCCCAGCACAGAGAUGUUCAUGAAAAAGAAAGUGAACAAAAGCAAACCAUACUGAUGAUACUGUUAAUGAAAAAUUCAGAGUGGGACCGACCGUUUAAAGCUGAUUAGAUCCUAGCAAGGGUUUUUUUAGAAACAGACAAGUUUCUUCUGAAAUUUAUUUUUAGUGGCAGGAAUCUUAGGAUGGCUAAAACAAUUCUGACAAAGAAGAAUUAAGUGGGAAGAAUCAGUCUACCCAAUUCCAAGACAUUACAUCAUUGGAACAAAAGAGAAAAUCCCAGAAACAAACAUGUAUAAAUAUUCCUGACUUAUUUUGACAGGAUGCAAAGCAAUUCAAUGGAGGAAAGCUAGUCUUUUCAACAAGCGGUGCUGGAUCAAUCGAACGUCUCUAAGCCUGUGGGACUUCUCAGGUAUCUCAGUGGUAAGGAACCUACCUGUCAAUGAAGGAAAUGCAAGAGCUGGGGGUUCGAUCCCUGGGUCAGGAAGAUCCCCUGGAGUAGGAAUCGGUGAUCCACUCCAGUACUCUCGCCUGGGAAAUCCCAGGGACAGAGGAGCCUGGUGGGCUACAGUCCGUGGGGCCACAAAGAUUCGGACACAACUGAGCACAAAGCAAGUAUGCGCAUACAAACACACACAAACUCCAACCCAACUCCCGUACCUUACGCAGAAAUUAACUAGACGUGACCACAGACUUACACGUCAAAUUAUGAAACUUUUAGAACAGAGGAUAAAAAUCUCAAGAUCUAUGACGAGGCAAAGAAUCUGUAGACUAGACACCAAAAGCAGAAUCCAUGAAUUAAUAUUUUCUUCUCAAAGGUACCCAGGAUACUGAGGACAGAAACAGAAAAACCACGGUUGCGUCGUUUCCUGCCGGCUUCCCUGCUAAGCAUCUUCUGUGCACCUGAGUGUCUUGAUCUCGAGUGAUCCAGGCAAACCUGAUCACACCUCGGGAGCCCUGGCUCUCCUGUAUGAAGCGGUGCAUUGCCACGUUGAAUUUUAAGCCCCUAUAGCUAUGCACACUGAAAAUAGCAUUUCAUUUUUAAAAUAAAUUCCUGAGUUAGCAGUCAGUCCCAAACCUUCCAUUCCUUGAGAACAGCGAGCGUGCAUUUUGUUGUUGUUUUUUGCAUCCCGCAUGACGUGUGCCAUUCCCAGCACAGAGAUGUUCAUGAAAAAGAAAGUGAACAAAAGCAAACCAUACUGAUGAUACUGUUAAUGAAAAAUUCAGAGUGGGACCGACCGUUUAAAGCUGAUUAGAUCCUAGCAAGGGUUUUUUUAGAAACAGACAAGUUUCUUCUGAAAUUUAUUUUUAGUGGCAGGAAUCUUAGGAUGGCUAAAACAAUUCUGACAAAGAAGAAUUAAGUGGGAAGAAUCAGUCUACCCAAUUCCAAGACAUUACAUCAUUGGAACAAAAGAGAAAAUCCCAGAAACAAACAUGUAUAAAUAUUCCUGACUUAUUUUGACAGGAUGCAAAGCAAUUCAAUGGAGGAAAGCUAGUCUUUUCAACAAACGGUGCUGGAUCAAUCGAACGUCUCUAAGCCUGUGGGACUUCUCAGGUAUCUCAGUGGUAAGGAACCUACCUGUCAAUGAAGGAAAUGCAAGAGCUGGGGGUUCGAUCCCUGGGUCAGGAAGAUCCCUGGAGUAGGAAUCGGUGAUCCACUCCAGUACUCUCGCCUGGAAAUCCCAGGGACAGAGGAGCCUGGUGGGCUACAGUCCGUGGGGC
Molecule: long non-coding RNA, 2546 nt
Filed under: Bos grunniens (domestic yak)
Lineage: Eukaryota; Metazoa; Chordata; Mammalia; Artiodactyla; Bovidae
Description: lncRNA (ENSBGRG00000008773.1)
Source: RNAcentral